RNAcentral lists this long non-coding RNA (728 nucleotides) under Struthio camelus australis. RNAcentral describes it as "lncRNA (ENSSCUG00000015191.1)". Lineage: Eukaryota; Metazoa; Chordata; Aves; Struthioniformes; Struthionidae. The record is from RNAcentral.
CAGAGACAGCGAUGGAACUGGGGAGGUGGCAGAUAGACUGACACCUGAUUUAUUUAUCUUUUUUCUUCCUUCGAAGCAUCAGAAACUGCCUAGAAUGCCCAUGCCACUACUCAGAGAAGCCUGCCCUCUUACUUGCUUUCUUCCCUUCUUUCCCUGUCUGAAUGGAAGCAUAUUUCCAUAGUGCCUGAUUAAGACCUAUAACCAGCCCAAAGGAGGAAGGUGCAGAAAGUGUUUUGUCUCAGCCAGGGAGCAAUCUCCUGAGCUGUGAAUGCACCAGGCAGUUACCAGCAAGGCCCGUCUUGUCUUUUCUCCAGCAGGCAAAAAACAGAUCACACAAACUAUGUAAUUGGGAGAGGGCUAUCGUAUGUCCACAGCCAGAUGGGAAAUGUUUUUGAAGGGAUGCUGAAGACUUUGCAGAUGUGUUCAGGGUGUUCCUGAUACAAAAGCACAAGAGGUCUCCUGGGAAGCCCCUUCGUGCCCUGGCCCGGGCUGGUGCCUGCGAUGCCCACGAGGACAGGCAGUGGCUAGGUGGCUGCUUCUGCUUCGGGCCACACCAUUAGAGAGAAAAUGCACCUGAGCCCAUGAGUGGGAAGAAGUGAUCUUUUCCUGACCAAAGAAAUUAUGGAAAUUUAGGGGAGGCUUCCUUUUUGUCUGUGUAAAAUUGCACUUCUGUGACUGGAUGUCUCUUCUUUGGUCUGGGGACCAGGAGUCCCUGGACGUGGAGGACC